CCUACGGGUGGCAGCAGUGAGGAAUAUUGGUCAAUGGGCGGGAGCCUGAACCAGCCAAGCCGCGUGAGGGAAGAAGGUACAGCGUAUCGUAAACCUCUUUUGUCAGGGAACAAAGGCGGGGACUAGUCCCCGGAUGAGGGUACCUGAAGAAAAAGCAUCGGCUAACUCCGUGCCAGCAGCCGCGGUAAUACGGAGGAUGCGAGCGUUAUCCGGAUUUAUUGGGUUUAAAGGGAGCGUAGGCGGGUUGUUAAGUCAGUUGUGAAAGUUUGCGGCUCAACCGUAAAAUUGCAGUUGAUACUGGCAUCCUUGAGUACAGUAGAGGUAGGCGGAAUUCGUGGUGUAGCGGUGAAAUGCUUAGAUAUCACGAAGAACUCCGAUUGCGAAGGCAGCCUGCUGGACUGUAACUGACGCUGAUGCUCGAAAGUGUGGGUAUCAAACAGGAUUAGAUACCCUUGUAGUC
This 460-nucleotide ribosomal RNA is filed under the name uncultured bacterium. RNAcentral describes it as "partial 16S ribosomal RNA". It matches the Rfam family "Bacterial small subunit ribosomal RNA", at positions 338 to 795 of the family's 1533-position model. The record is from RNAcentral.